Molecule: long non-coding RNA, 458 nt
Organism: Lepidothrix coronata (blue-crowned manakin)
Lineage: Eukaryota; Metazoa; Chordata; Aves; Passeriformes; Pipridae
Exons: 3
Source: RefSeq, a predicted model, not a curated record
CAGCAGAGGCAGUGAGGAGGCUGACCUCUACCUCCCCCUGCUCUGCCUGGAAGGAGUUGCAGGCAGAAACAGCCAGUGCAUCUCCUGCAGUGCUGAGGCCCCCGUCUUGUGCUUGAGUCCAGUGCAACAUUAUUUAGUGCUGCCAGCCAGAAAGGAAGAAGUGAUAUCCUCUUCUGUGCAUGCUGACCUCUGAAUUCCUUUAACAUUAUCCUUAUAUGUUUUUUCAGGUCUCCUGUCUUUUUUCCCCUGCAGAACUAAUUUGGACUAAACAAAGACAUAAGCAAACUUACCAAAGGUUUGGCACAGACAUAAGUGCUGGUAGAUGGCAACAGCUAUGAAAAGUAGAGUUCUACAUUCAAAACAGUCUUAACAUUUACAUCUUCACUUUUUUUCCUCUGGGAAACGUGGAUGAGUGUCUUUCAGUUUGGUCCUGGACAUGCAAAUACAGCUAUCUGAAU